This is a long non-coding RNA of Saccostrea echinata, 262 nucleotides long. RefSeq lists it as uncharacterized. NCBI's taxonomy places the organism in Eukaryota, Metazoa, Mollusca, Bivalvia, Ostreida, Ostreidae. The record is from RefSeq and is a predicted model, not a curated record. The transcript has 5 exons.
CCACAGAUAAGUGGUGUUCGUAGCAGUGCUCCACCAAAUUUUGCUUCUUCUGUCAGUGCCCAACAGAGUCUAAUGGUGAGUGAGGUGACAAAGCAGAGAUCUCAAACACUACAACCUACUCGAACACUCCAUUCGCCUACUGAAGAGAGCAGCAAACCUAGAUCCGCCACCGUGACAAUAGAAUCAGCUACACUACCCCGAAGUGAGAGACCACUCGAUAUCGAAGUGGAAAACGAGCCAACCAAGAAAAAGAAGAAAGGGA